Molecule: long non-coding RNA, 1637 nt
Filed under: Equus caballus (horse)
Lineage: Eukaryota; Metazoa; Chordata; Mammalia; Perissodactyla; Equidae
Description: lncRNA (ENSECAG00000048159.1)
Source: RNAcentral
CCUCAGCAGACAUAAUUAUAACCUCUUGAAAGACCCUGAGCCUCUAAGCUGCUUCUAGUUUCCCGACCGUCAGAACCUCUUUGAAGUAAUAAAGCAGGGUCACCCAUGGUGGACAGGUUUCAGCGGAGCUUCCAGACUAAGACAGACUAGGAAGAAGGAACUGCCCACCCACUUCUGAAAGAAUUGGCCAUGAAAACCCUGUGAAGAGCAGUGGAGCACCGUCUGAUGGAACACCGGAAGGUAUGUCUCUUAAAAGAGCUUAUGGAUGCUCACCGUUAGAACCCAGACACCACACCAACAGGAAGCUCAGGGCGCAUGGUGUGGCCAUUUGUAGUGUUCUAGGUAACAACUCCAGCUGAGGUCCCAGCUAGAGUCGGCUUCAAUUGACAGCUGUGUAGGUGAGGAACCUUCACGCCUGGUUAUGCCCAGUCACGCCCCAAACCAUGAGAGAGAAAAAAGAAAUUCUUAUCAUUGUUUUCAGUCACGGCAAUAGACCCAAUGCAGGAAUAGAAAGAUUCUUCUCAGGAGGGGUCCAGCCAGAGUCGUCACCAGACUGUCAAAGGGGUCCGUGGCACAAAAGAGUUUAAGAAUCUCUGGUGCAGACAAAGAAGAGAGAAAGAGAAAAGGCCUGAACCCUGGAACUCUCCAACAUUUAGUGAUUAAACAUUCAAGAAGGAACCAGCAAAAGACGCUCAAAUGACUGAGUUUACAUGGAGCCAACGAGAUUAUACUUUCUGCCAUCAGACAGAACAAGUAUUCAAAAAGAGACUAACUUUAACUACAGAAACAAAAAAAUUUUAAAUUUGUAUUUUUGUAUACCAGAGUUGUUGCCCAUGAGACAUUGGAGCAUACCAUACUGGGAGGCUUUGAAGCCAAAGGAAGAAAUAUUUCAAGGAAAGAGAAAUCAACCAUAUUAAAUGCUGAUGAAAAUGGACACUCGGAUUUGGCUAGAUGAGAGUUAAGUUGCUCUUAGCUGAGUAAGAGCAGUUUCGGUAGAUUUUUGGAGACAAAAGCUUGAUUUGAAUGGGUAAAGAAGAAAAUGGGAGAUGAGCAAAUAAAGAAAGCAAGUAAAGGUAUCUUUUUGGGGAGUUUUGCCAUAAGAGGAAGCAGAGAAAUUUGGAGGGGUUGCGAGGGGACCUGGAGUCAAGAGAAGCUUAAAUAAAAUUUUUUUAAAUAUUUGUGAUAUUCCAUUAUGCUGAUGAGAAUUAUGAUGAAAUUAAUGAUGCGGGAGAGAGAAUGGAUCACUGAAGAAGAGACAGAGGAUGGUAUCCAAUGGAAAGCUUGGUUUUCAAUUGGAGCAAGACCAGUUCAUCCAUUAUGACAGGAAAUUGGUUAGUGCCAUGAGUUAGUUUUUCAUAUUUAGUGGUUUUCUGAUUGUGUCUAUCUUUUGAUGAUGCCAUCAGCUGAGAAUGGGGAGUGUGGAAGGGUUUUGGAAAUUUGAGGAGAGAAGAUGUAGUUCUGGAGAUUAGGAGAAAUGUAGUGGAACUGCUGAGCAGUGCCAAAGGCCCACUCAAGAUCUGUGAAUAUGAAUUUCAAGAGAGAUAAAUGUGCUUAAUUGUGAGGUUUUCUUCAAAGGCAGCCAUGGAAUAUACAGAAGUGAGUUUGGGAUUUGAAUCUUUCCAAGUGGCUACAGGGAG